Molecule: long non-coding RNA, 665 nt
Organism: Venturia canescens
Lineage: Eukaryota; Metazoa; Arthropoda; Insecta; Hymenoptera; Ichneumonidae
Exons: 2
Source: RefSeq, a predicted model, not a curated record
CAAAAUUUGCAGUGGUGUGGUUUCGUUCCGGUGUGAGUGUUGACGUGAUUUUGCAAAGAGGCAAGAGUUUUGAACCCUCUUUCGCAAACACUGCACUUGUGCGGUCUUUCCUCGGAGUGUGAUUUCAUGUGUCGUGAAAAUUUAUCGUCUUCGGCUUCGUACUCGGUCGCAUUGUCCUCGUUGUCCUCAAAAUCGUACACGGUCAAGUCUUGGUCGCCCUCACCGUCUUCCCCUUCACCACCUUCGCCGUCACCGCUGCCACGACCUUCUUUACCAUCCGGCUGUUGCACUAUCAAGACGUAACUGACUUCGCCGGGAUUCGUAUCUGAUGGCACUAUCGUCACUGUCUGAUAAGCGUCUCCGGAGUUCAGCACUACUCGAUUGUUUUCCGAAUUGUGAGCCUGUUUCAAUAACAAUUGUACUCUUAACCAUCGUUGCUAACUCGACGCCUAUGGGAGGUUGGAAUCAAGCGAGAGUCGAAACAAAAAACUGUCAAAAUGGUGGAGAACAUUCGAAAAACUUGCACAAAAUAACCUCGUUAGUUUUAAAUGUGAUUUCGAACUUGGCCGAUUAAUUCUUUGUCUCAAAAUUUUUAUUUUUUUAAAAGAACUCAACAAUUGUUAGCCAAUUUAGUUAAUUUAUGAAAUAUAUCAAUGAAAAAUGUU